RNAcentral lists this ribosomal RNA (189 nucleotides) under uncultured Flavobacterium sp. Its description in RNAcentral is "partial 16S ribosomal RNA". It matches the Rfam family "Bacterial small subunit ribosomal RNA", at positions 338 to 524 of the family's 1533-position model. Lineage: Bacteria; Pseudomonadati; Bacteroidota; Flavobacteriia; Flavobacteriales; Flavobacteriaceae. The record is from RNAcentral.
CCUACGGGAGGCAGCAGUGAGGAAUAUUGGUCAAUGGGCGCAAGCCUGAACCAGCCAUGCCGCGUGCAGGAUGACGGUCCUAUGGAUUGUAAACUGCUUUUGUACGGGAAGAAAUCCUCCUACGUGUAGGAGCUUGACGGUACCGUAAGAAUAAGGAUCGGCUAACUCCGUGCCAGCAGCCGCGGUAAU